RNAcentral lists this ribosomal RNA (440 nucleotides) under uncultured bacterium. RNAcentral's name for it is "partial 16S ribosomal RNA". It matches the Rfam family "Bacterial small subunit ribosomal RNA", at positions 338 to 795 of the family's 1533-position model. The record is from RNAcentral.
CCUACGGGAGGCUGCAGUGGGGAAUAUUGCUCAAUGGGGGAAACCCUGAAGCAGCAACGCCGCGUGCAGGAUGAAGGCUUUCGGGUUGUAAAACUCUUUUUAUACGGAAGUAAAUCACGGUACCUGAAGAAUAAGCCCCGGCUAACUCCGUGCCAGCGGCCGCGGUAAUACGUAGGGUGCAGGCGUUAUCCGGAAUUACUGGGCGUAAAGAGCGCGUAGACGGUGUAGCAAGUCAGAUGUGAAAGCCCGGGGCGAAACCCCGGGACUGCAUUUGAAACUGUUGUACUGGAGUACAGGAGAGGUAAGCGGAAUUCCUGGUGUAGCGGUGAAAUGCGUAGAGAUUAGGAGGAACACUAGUGGCGAAGGCGGCUUACUGGACUGUAACUGACGUUGAGGCUCGAAAGCGUGGGGAGCAAACAGGAUUAGAUACCCCUGUAGUC